AUUGAACGCUGGCGGCAGGCCUAACACAUGCAAGUCGAGCGGAUGAAGGGAGCUUGCUCCUGGAUUCAGCGGCGGACGGGUGAGUAAUGCCUAGGAAUCUGCCUGGUAGUGGGGGAUAACGUCCGGAAACGGGCGCUAAUACCGCAUACGUCCUGAGGGAGAAAGUGGGGGAUCUUCGGACCUCACGCUAUCAGAUGAGCCUAGGUCGGAUUAGCUAGUUGGUGGGGUAAAGGCCUACCAAGGCGACGAUCCGUAACUGGUCUGAGAGGAUGAUCAGUCACACUGGAACUGAGACACGGUCCACUCCUACGGGAGGCAGCAGUGGGGAAUAUUGGACAAUGGGCGAAAGCCUGAUCCAGCCAUGCCGCGUGUGUGAAGAAGGUCUUCGGAUUGUAAAGCACUUUAAGUUGGGAGGAAGGGCAGUAAGUUAAUACCUUGCUGUUUUGACGUUACCAACAGAAUAAGCACCGGCUAACUUCGUG
This 482-nucleotide ribosomal RNA is filed under the name uncultured bacterium. RNAcentral describes it as "partial 16S ribosomal RNA". It matches the Rfam family "Bacterial small subunit ribosomal RNA", at positions 30 to 507 of the family's 1533-position model. The record is from RNAcentral.